This is a long non-coding RNA of Gorilla gorilla gorilla (western lowland gorilla), 321 nucleotides long. RefSeq lists it as uncharacterized. The record is from RefSeq and is a predicted model, not a curated record. The transcript is spliced from 3 exons. Lineage: Eukaryota; Metazoa; Chordata; Mammalia; Primates; Hominidae.
UGCUGGUCUGAUCUGGAAGGAGGUUUCAGGUAGUUUGAGUCUGCUCCAUGAAUUAUCAUCAUCCUGGAACCGCAGCUACCCAGGGCAUGUUUUGUCAUGGUGGAUUGUAGAAUUCCAGCUGUUCGAUGCAUGAAACCAACAGCAAAUGUCGUUUUUUGGUUCUUUGCUUAUUGGUGGCUCUUCUUCACCAGAUCACCCAAGAGAGAACACUGGAAUUCAACAGAAGUGACAGGAGACACCUAAGACAAGGAAAGAGAGAGAAGCGAGGCAGCCUGGCUGGCUGGGAUUACCUAAGAACCUGAAGAGGCUUCCCAAUGUGGA